RNAcentral lists this ribosomal RNA (852 nucleotides) under uncultured archaeon. Its description in RNAcentral is "bacterial SSU rRNA". It matches the Rfam family "Archaeal small subunit ribosomal RNA", at positions 18 to 873 of the family's 1478-position model. The record is from RNAcentral.
CGGAAGCUACUGCUAUUGGAGUUCGAUUAAGCCAUGCGAGUCUAAGGGGUACUUGUACCCCUGGCAUAAUGCUCAGUAACACGUGGAUAAUCUACCCUUAGGUGGGGCAUAAACCCGGGAAACUGGGGCUAAUUCCCCAUAGAUACAGAACGCUGGAAUGCCUCUGUAUUCAAAGCUCCGGCGCCUAAGGAUGAGUCUGCGACCUAUCAGGUAGUAGUCAGGGUCACGACCUGACUAGCCAACGACGGGUACGGGGUGUGAGAGCACUUGCCCGGAGAUGGUUUCUGAGACACGAAACCAGGCCCUACGGGGCGCAGCAGGCGCGAAAACUUCGCAAUGCGGGAAACCGUGACGAGGGAACUCCAAGUGUCUAUGCAAUGCAUAGACUGUUUUUCAGCCUAAAUAGCUGUUAGAGUAAGGGGUGGGUAAGACCGGUGCCAGCCGCCGCGGUAACACCGGCACACCGAGUGGUAGCCACUAUUAUUGGGCCUAAAGCGUUCGUAGCCGGUUUAGUAAAUUCUUGGGUAAAUCGUACAGCUUAACUGUGCGGAUUCCGGGGACACUACUAGACUUGAGACCGGGAGAGAUUAGAGGUACUUGCAGGGGAGCGGUGAAAUGUUGUAAUCCUGCAGGGACCACCAGUGGCGAAGGCGUCUAAUCAUAACGGCUCUGACGGUGAGGAACGAAACCCUGGGGCGCAAACGGGAUUAGAUACCCCGGUAGUCCAGGGCGUAAACGCUGCUGACUUGGUGUUGGAGAUCCUACGAGGGUGUCCAGUGCUGGCGCGAAGGUAUUAAGUCAGCCGCCUGGGGAGUACGGUCGCAAGACUGAAACUUAAAGGAAUUGGCGGGG